CAGCACAAACUGCAGGAGGUGAAGAUGCGGUCGGUUCCCUUUUCCUUUCGGUCUUCAUGUCACCAUGAAAAGACGAUUCAGCGUCUUUUCAACACAUCGGAGCUAAUUUUGAUUUUGAUUAUAUGUUUUUUGUGGGUAAAUUCUUUCCCACACAUCGUGGACGCUGUGUUUCUUCAGAGCGAGGACUCCUGCGCUCUUGGCGCAAAAGCCUCAUCGCCAUGAUGCGCUUCAGCUGCUGGAAGCCUCCAAACUUGAGAUGAUGACGUCCUGCAAGAGAAAAUCCUGCAUCCGUGAACACAAGAUGGAAAUCUGCAGGUAGCGACGCAGAAACCUCCAGCCUCGGGCAGCAGCUGAACAAGUGGAGCCCUGUUCCCCCUCUCUGCAGCAUGGGAUGAGGAGACGGGAACAUAAAGGCGAGCAUGUGUUGGGAAUGUCAAAAGGCUUCAUUAUCUGCAGCUCGGGUUCUCCAUGUCAUCGCUGAGACCACAGAACAGACGCGCAUCGGGGGGUCGCGGUCGGUUCUGCAGCAGGACGCACGCCUGUUCUCUAUUUGCAUUUGUCGCAGCGGCUGUCAGAGAGAUCACAUUUCACCCUGAAAGGCGCACUGUGAAGAGAUGAACACUCACUGGUCAUGACACACAUGGAGGAACCACACUUGUGCAACGUCAGCUGUUCGUGUUAGUGCUGCUGCGGUCAAGAGAGAUGUGUAACGUUAUUAUCUUUAGGUUCCAGAGAGACACAAACAGCGUUGUGUUGCAAGAGUGUUGUUUUUUUUAUUUUUGUGCUGCUGGCAGGUGGAGCGACGUGUUGACGGUUUGAAACCCACUGUGUUGAGGUCUGGAGCCAGUGAGCACAGAGACAUGAGGUACAGAUCAAACCAAAUCCCUGUUAUUGAUAACAUUUCAUAUUUAUUAGUCUCAUUCAUUAUGUAGAACUGUUAAUUAAAUAAAGUGUUUUAUGAUAAUUAACACUUGAAUGCAUUUACUGACGUCACUAUACAUCCCUUGGAUAUUGUAUGUGUCUGAAUUCAGUGUAUUAUUACAAAAUAAAAUACAAAAAGAAAUUGAAUUGUUGCAUUUCCUCCCUUCACUGUACAUAGUGUUGAACAUCUAAAUGAAACAUGUA
Platichthys flesus (European flounder) is the source of this 1125-nucleotide long non-coding RNA. RefSeq lists it as uncharacterized. Lineage: Eukaryota; Metazoa; Chordata; Actinopteri; Pleuronectiformes; Pleuronectidae. The record is from RefSeq and is a predicted model, not a curated record. The transcript is spliced from 3 exons.